RNAcentral lists this long non-coding RNA (7259 nucleotides) under Gossypium barbadense (sea-island cotton). RNAcentral's name for it is "long non-coding RNA (GBAR_LNC000024)". The record is from RNAcentral. Lineage: Eukaryota; Viridiplantae; Streptophyta; Magnoliopsida; Malvales; Malvaceae.
GAUAAUAAUAUCAGAGUGCAAUGUUUACCACCAGGAGAAGCUUUCAAACUGUUCGAGGAGAAGGUUGGCUCAGAGACCCUUCAAAUGCAUCCAGAUAUUUGCAAGUUAGCUGAAGCGGUGGUUGAAGAGUGUGCAGGACUACCUCUCGCUCUCAUUACAAUUGGGCGGGCCAUGGCAUCCAAGAAGACUCCUCACGAAUGGAAAUAUGCUAUUGAAGUUUUAAGGCAAUCAACAGCUUCUGUGUUCCCAGGGGUAGGGAAAGAGAUGUUUCCCAAGUUAAAAUUCAGUUAUGACUAUUUAACGAGUGAAAGAGUCAAAUCUUGUUUCUUGUAUUGUUCUUUAUAUCCAGAAGAUUAUAGCAUCCCAAAAGAGGAACUAGUAGAUUGUUGGAUCGGGGAAGGACUUUUGGACAAGCAUACCAAUUUGAGCAGUGCCAGAAACCAGGGACUUUUCAUUAUAGGUUCUCUUAUUUACGUAGGCUUAUUGGAGAAAGAAGGUAAUCUCUUUGUAAAGAUGCACAAUGUGAUUCGUGACAUGACUUUGUGGAUUGCUGGUGAAUCUGAGAAGAAGUUUUUUGUAAAAUCGGGUGUUCAGUUAAAGGAACAACCAAAAGCUAAAAAGUGGGAAGAGGUAACAAGAAUGUUGCUGAUGGAGAAUCAAAUUGAAAAUCUAACUGAGAUAUUGGAAUGUCCCAAUCUCCAAACUUUGUUUCUUAGGAGUAAUCAUUUGAAGGUAAUCAUCAAUGAUUUCUUUAAUUUCAUGCCGAUGCUAAGGGUUCUGGACUUGUCUAGAAAUAUGAAUUUGGAAGAAUUGCCGGUAGGAAUUGCAAAGUUGGUUUCACUAGAACAUCUCAAUUUGUCACGGACAAGAAUAAAAAAGUUGCCAGUUGAAUUGAAGGCCCUAGCAAAGCUGAAAUAUUUGAAAUUGGAGAAAACAAGCAGGCUGAGUAUGAUCCCUCAACAACUGAUAUCCAGUUUCUCCAAGUUGCAAGUACUGAAAAUGGUGGGUUGUGGUUAUAGAUGUUCGUUGGUUUUGGAGGAAAUGGAGCAUUUAAAAUAUUUGAAUGUAGUAACCAUUACUUUUAGAAGCGCUUCAGAGUUGGAAAAAGCUUCGAGGUUCAACAAGUUCUUAAGCUUUACCUUUGAAUAUGUAAGCCUUGAAGAUUUCAUGGAUUCAAGAUCAUUGAAUAUGUUGGCUUUAGCUAAUGUGCCACAUCUACAGAGUUUAUCAUUUUCUUUUUGUAUGUAUCUGGAAGAAGUGAAGAUUGAAAGCAACAUAAUUGAAGGUGUGGGACGCUUCCAUAGCCUUCAAUUUGUAAGCCUAUGUUAUUGCACUCGAUUGAAGGAUGUGAGUUGGAUAAUUUUUGCUCCAAAUUUGUUAGGACUAUUUAUAAUCAGCUGCCAAGGUUUAGAAGAAAUUAUCGACGAGGAAAAACUUGAUGAAGUCACUAAGUCCAAGGCAGAUGGUAACUUAUUUUCUAAACUUGAGGUUUUUUAUCUAAAAGAUUUGCCCGAAAUGAAAACAAUAUACCGCCAUGCUCUGCCUUUCCCGCAACUGGAGGAAAUCAAAAUUCUAGAAUGCCCAGUGUUGAAGAAGCUCCCUUUAAACUCCAAUAGUGCAAAAGGACAAAGGCUCGUCAUUGGAGGAGAGGAGGGAUGGUGGAAAGAUGUAGAAUGGGAGGAUGAAUCCACUCGAGUUGCUUUUCUCCCUUCUUUCAAACCUGAGGUGGAAUGGUGGAAAGAUGUAGAAUGGGAGGAUGAAUCCAGUCGAAUUGCUUUUCUCUCUUCUUUCAAACCUGGUCUAUUCUAAUAAAUGUUGGACAUUAAUUAACGCCUAAAACCUUGAUUGUAUCAUAAUAUACCUCAUUGUAAGUUCUAUUGUGCCUAUCCCUAGAUUACAUGUAGCUUGGUUCUUUGUUUUACACAGACUUUUUUCUUUAGUAUGAUUUUGAAAAUAUAUUAUGUUAAUGAAUUUAAAUUUGAAGUAUAACUUUCAACCCAUCAUAUCAUUUUCUUUUAAUUUUAUAACUAAAAAUUUCCAUAAUUAUAGUAAAAUUAAAAUUUUCUUAUAAAUGUUGUUUUAGUUUGUAUUUCUGUAUAUUUAAAUAUGAAAUUUUUUAUAGGAGAGAAAAAUAUGUUAAGUAUAAAUUCUGAAUUUUAAAAAAUUAAAAAUUUAAGUUUUAAUAAGUUAAUAAAAUAUAAUUUAUUUUCAUUUAUUAUACAUGUUAUCAAUAAAAAAACUUAUUAGAUACUAAAUAUUGAUAAUUAUAUUAUAAUAAAAUAACGGUGACAUAAUAUAAAUUUUAAUAUUUUUAUAUUAAAACUCAUUAAUACAAAUUAUUAACAUUUUAAAAUUGUUUAUGAUUGUAGAAUCUGAGAUCAUGCAAGUACAAAUAUUAACAAUGAUGUUUCAAUGUGUUUCAAUGUUGAAAUAUGGUUAUAUGAUUAGAUUAGGGUGUUUCAAAUUUAAAUAUAUAUAAUAAAAAAAUUAUUAUUAUAAAAAUUAUUUACUGAUUAUUUUUUUAAUAUUUUAAUAAUAAAAAAAUUAUUAUUAUACAAAUUAUUAUUAAAAAAUUAUUAAAAACCAACUUAAUCAUUGUUUCGAUAUCAUAUAUGAGCUCAGCUUAAUUUGUGAACAUCUUUACUCAAACACGAUUAUUAAAAGUGAGAUUAUGUAUAUGAAUUCUCUAUAAUUAUAGACUCAUAAACAAGUUAUUGUAAUUAAUAUUCAAAUGGCAAUCUCUGAAUUUAAUAAGUUACAGCAAACUGAUUAGUUAAAUGUUUGAUGAGUAUAGUUAUUAGACAUCUCCUUCUCCCACUUCCUUUGCAUUUUGAAUUUAGCCCCUCUUGUAACACUAAAAUAACAUUAACAGAGAAAGAUUAUGUAUAGAGGUAAGAAUACUAUGCCUAAUUUCAACUUGAUUUUGUAAUAUUUCCAUCAAAUAAUUUAUGCGCCUUUAUCAUAGUGUUAUAAUUAAGAGUGUGUGUCCACUUCUGCGGAUUCUCGUGUGGUGUGUUAAUAAUUUUGAGAAAUACUCGGUACUAAGUGAGUAUAAGCUGAUGAAAAAGCGAAAUCUUAUUUCGUGUAUUGUUAUUUAUAUCCAGAAAAUGAUCUCAUUAAAAAAGAUGCACUAAUGUAUUAUAGGUAAUCAGUAUCAGAAAUGUUAUCACUAUAAUUUUUGGGUACUAAAAUCAUGAGAAAAAAUCGAAUAUUAAAUGAUAUAUUAGCUUUAAAAUUUUAGAAACAAAAUUUUUAAUUAAAUAAAAUAUAAAACCACUUAAAUGAAUACAAUAUACUACCAUGCUCUGCCUUUCCCACGGCUGAAGAAAAUAUCAAUUGUAAAAUGCCCAAUGCUGAAGAAACUCCCACUAAACUCCAAUACUGCAAAAGGACAGAGGCUCAUCAUUAAAGGAGAGUGGGUGGUGUAAAGAUGUAGAAUGGGAGGAUGAAUCCACUCGAACUGCUUUUCUCCCCUCUUUCAAACCUCUGUAAUCUAUGAAAUGUUGGAUAUUAAUUAAGGCUUAAAGCCAUUAUUGUAUCAUAGCAUACCUCACUGUAAGUUCUAUUUUGCAUACCUUUAAAUUACAUGUAAUUUAUAAUAAAAUGUUUGAUUUGAGAGUAUAUCAUGUUGGUUUUCUCUAUUUUUGCUUCUCCCAAAGAGCAGAGCUCAAAUAUUACCUUAUUUCAUUAUGAUGGUUCUGCUUCAAACUUACCUUUUCGAAAGGAGCUGAUGCAUUUAUGGAAGGACUUGAAGUCUUUGUGUCUUGUAUAAUUCGACCAUGUGAAAUUUCACCUGAGUAAGAUAAAACAAAGGAAUUGUCUCAUCUAUAAAUCAAACUUGAAAUGAUAUUCACAUCUGUCAGUAGAUAACAUAAUUUCUUUCCCCUUCGUCAGACCACAUGCCAUAAUUCAGAAACAUAACCAUCGUAGUUACCUUUGUUAACAGGUUCCUCUGUCAAUCCAGUAGACUGCAUUUCUAAUAUACAGACUUCAGGCUUCAUUUAUCAAUAAGUUAGAAGGAUUAUCAAAGAAAGGCUAAAAGACAAAGAAGGCAUGCAAAGAUUUAAUCACUUACAGCAAACUGGUUAGUUAAAUACUGAUGCUUAUAUUUAUUGGACAUCUCUUCAAUUGGUUCUUUGCCUUCGGACUGCUGUUGUUGUUUCCUUCACUCAGACUCAUACACCUAUUUCAUAAGUGACACAUUCAACAUACAUUUGUAUUAGCUGGUAAAAAGCACCAAGUCCCAACAUUACCUCUCAAUAUCUUCGAACAUGAUCAAGAUAACUGUAACCUUCAUGUUUUUUUCUAUGAAAACCAGCUUUAGUCAGCUCAUCUUCAUCACCAUCACUUUCAGCAGGUUUACUCAACUCAUCUUCAGCUGAAGUUCUUCUUUCUCAAGUUCUUUCCAACCUUGACAUUAUACUGCCAUGCUCUGCCUUUCCCACAGCUGAAGGAAAUAUCAAUUGUAGAAUGCCCAAUGCUGAAGAAGCUCCCACUAAACUCCGAUACUGAAAAAGGACAAACGCUCAUCAUUUUAGAAGAUGAGUAGUGGUGGAAAAAUGUAGAAUGAGAAGAUGAAUCCACUCAAAUUGCUUUUCUCCUUUUUUUCAUACCUCUGUAAACUACAAAUGCUGUCUAUUUUGUUGUCAAAUAACGAUAGUUAUUCAAAUAACAAGUAGGAUUUUAAUGUCAUAUAUGUAUCAUUAAACUUAUGGUCUUGGAUUUAGUUGCCUUCGUCUUCCAAUGCUGUCUCUUGUGUUUCCUUUUCUGAUCAUUGUUUAAGUGGCAAUAAUGGUGCUUGUAUGAAUGCUAGUGAUUCAGUGCUAUCAGUAAGUGUGCAAAGCUUUUUUUGGAACUCUAGCUUCCAUUUGGAUAACAAAAAAGUCCAAGGCUGUACUUCUCUUUACAUUCCUAGAACAGGGAUUUCAUUUGCUGAUGAAUUGCUAGGAAGGUGGCAGAGUAAUGUUAGAUGUUACUACCUAACAUCUUACACAUGCUGCUAUUAGUAUUCCUUUUUCUUUUUUUUUCGAUGGGAUCUUAGUUCUCCCCAAUAAUGCAAGUUGCCAAUGAGGGGAGUGGUUUCCACACAAAGGACAAGAAUUUUCUUUCAUCUGUCAUAACUCUCAGCAUGCCAAAUUGGAAUUCAGACUUUAGAAUAAAAUUCAGGUUUUAAAAUUGCAGAUUCACUGGUUGAUUGCAAGUUGCCAAUGAGGGGAAUGGUUUGCACACAAAAGACAAGAUCCUUUUAUCUGUCAUAAAAAUUAGCAUGUCAAAUUGGACAUACUGUCCACCCAUAAUGCCCUGCCCAAAGCUACCGAAGAAAGUGGAACCCUUGAAAGAGAAAGAGAGAUGUAGGUCCAACCUGUGAAUUCCUUUAUUGGAUCAUGCCACUAAAAAAUAUUCAUUUUAUUAACAAAAUCAUAAAAACUUUAAACUUUAUAAUAUUAUAAAAUUUAAGUAUCAAAAUAUAUAGCUUUUCUAAAAUACAGCUAUCACAUUAAAAAAAAUUAUCAUAUCAAAUAAUAUAUUAAGCAUUUCAAUAAUUAUUAACUUUAAAAUUUUAGAAACAAAAUAUUUUAAUUAAAUAAAAUAUAAAACCACUUAAAUUUAAUACAAUAUAUAAUUAUUUAUUAUUAUUUUAAAUACUUGUAUAUAUAGUUUUUUUUAAUUUAAAACAGUUAUGGAAAAAAGAUUUUAUUGAAAACAUAUUUAUAAAUUUAAUUUAAUUUAAUUUUUUUAAAAACAUAGUAAUUUAAUUUUAAUUUUGAAUAGUUUUAAAUUUAUAUACAUUUUUUAAUUAACAAAUUGUAAUAUAUUUUUAGCAUAAUUUAAACACUUUGUACAUAUUUAUGUAAAAUUUUAAAAAUUUUUGAUUAUUUUAUAUUUUUAUUAUUUUUUGGUACCAAAAUACAUGUGAACUUCCAACGAUUUGUCUUUGUUUACCUGCGGAUUUUCUCUCUCUCUUUUUGUUUACGAAAAUAUUCUCAAUCUUUCAUAUAGCUCUAUAAGCUUCUUUGAUUUAUUCCUUACUUCUAUUUCCAGCAAUUGUUCAGCUCACUCUUCUAAAAUCAAAAACAGGUAUGGGUAAUAUCUUCUCAAUCUCACUUUCACUCGAUACCAUCAUUACCCGUUGUUGGGAUUCUGCUUUUCUAUGCAAACUUGAAAAAAACCUCCCUGCUUUAAAAACUGAAGUGGAAGAUUUGAAGGCGACCAGGAGGGAUCUGAUGAGCAGGGUCAGGGUCGCUGAAGAUGAGAAGCAACUUAAGCGGCUACCCCAAGUUGAUCUUUGGCUUCAGAGGGCUGAUCGUGUGAUAACCGAUGCUGAUAAACUGAUUGUCCAAAGUCCUCAGCAUGUUGAAAAGUUAUGUAUGGGAGGUUGUUGUUCCAGGCAUCCCAGGUCCACCCACAAGUUCGGGAAGCAAAUCGCCACAAUACUCCAAGAGGUGAAAGGCCUGAAGGAGAAAGGAGAUUUCAGUGACGUGGCCUGCAAGCCACCAAUUCCUUCCGCAAAUAAACGACCUUCUGAUCCAACUGUGGGUUUAGAGUCGUAUGUCAAUCAGGUUUGGAGCUGUCUUCAAAAGGAACAAGUGGGAAUUAUUGGCAUAUAUGGCUUAGGAGGGGUUGGCAAGACAACCCUCCUAAACCAAAUCAAUAACAAAUUCCAUGAUACUACCCAUGAUUACCAUGUAAUUUGGGCAGUUGCAUCGCAAGAUCGGCCAAUUGAGAGAGUCCAGGAUGAGAUUGCCAAAAGAAUAGGCCUCUCUAAUGAAGGUUGGAAAUCUAUUGAAGAGAAAGCCGCAGACAUCUUCAACGUCUUACGUAAAAAGAAGUUUGCAUUGUUGUUGGAUGAUAUAUGGGAAUGGUUUGAUCUCACAAGAGCUGGGGUACCUCUUCCAACACAAGGAAAUGGCUCUAAAGUCAUUUUCACAACUCGUCGUCGUGAUGUGUGCUGUCAAAUGCAACCGAACAUGGAUAAUAAUAUCAGAGUGGAAUGUUUACCACCAGGAGAAGCUUUCAAACUGUUCGAGGAGAAGGUUGGAUCAGAGACCCUUCAAAUGCAUCCAGAUAUUUGCAAGUUAGCUGAAGCGGUGGUUGAAGAGUGUGCAGGACUACCUCUCGCUCUCAUUACAAUUGGGCGGGCCAUGGCAUCCAAGAAGACUCCUCACGAAUGGAAAUAUGCUAUUGAAGUUUUAAGGCAAUCAACAGCUUCUGUGUUCCCAGGGGUAGGGAAAGAGAUGUUUCCCAAGUUAAAAUUCAGU